This 1805-nucleotide long non-coding RNA is filed under the name Phoenix dactylifera (date palm). RNAcentral describes it as "long non-coding RNA (PDAC_LNC012869)". The record is from RNAcentral. Lineage: Eukaryota; Viridiplantae; Streptophyta; Magnoliopsida; Arecales; Arecaceae.
AGGGCUUUCCCGUUAGAACUCAUAUUAGGACAUUUCAGACAACCUAUUGAAGCAACACAUUUUGUAUUUAGUUAUAAAGAAAAAAGAAAAAAAACCAUAACAAUAUGAUCAUGAAAACAAAAGAGAAAUCAGGUUACCAUCAAAAUAUGUAGGGCAAACAUCUUCAUCCUCUCAUUAUAAUUUGCUUUGAAAUCAUCUUAAUUAGCUCCGAUCUAUGCUUAUUAUUGCUUUGAGUUAUAUGAUUCAUAUUCUUGCAAUAAUUCGACAUGCAUUGACUGAAAAUCAGGGUAAAAUAAGGAAGAGAAAUAUCUAAGUUUAAUUUAUUAUGUUGUACUUAAUGUUUUAUUAUUUUGCAACCUUUUUGAUGUUGUCAAAAAGGGGGAGAAAUAUCUGAGUAAGAGUACAUGCUCAUAAUGCUUUAUGUAUUAUGAAUAAAAUAUAAAUCAGCUUAGAUUGAAAUGUAUUGAUUGGGUUAAGCUGAUUAAAUCUCAAGCAUUAUCAUUAAGUAUGUUUUAAAUAUGCAUGUUUUCUACUUCAUGCAACUUAGCUAUGCAUUAGUUCUAGAACACAAUCUAUUUUAUAUUGUAUAUACUCCAAGUUUUGUCAUCAUCAAAAAGGGGAAGAUUGCUGACCCAAAGAUUGAUUUUGAUAAUUACAAAACCUUGAAGUAUAAUUACUAAUGUUUGUGUUGCAAGAAGAAUGAUAUUUGUUUUGCAAGGAGCAUAACAAGUUGGAAGAAUAGAAGAAGGCCUCAAAAGCUCUCAAAAAGUUGAAAGAAAGCUAUACUUCAUUGGCCCAAGUUUCAAGUUCAAAGAAUUCAAGUUGGAGUAGCAAAUUCAAAGUAAAAUCCAAAAGAACAAUCCUCGAGUUGACUCCUAGAAGCCUCGAGUCGACUCUGGCACAAAUGGUAACUUUGGCACAGAGUGCGAGCUGACUUGCGAGCGGACUUGUAGAGCGCGAGUCGACUCGAAUUGUUCACGAGCCAACUCGCACAGAAAAGACAGAAAGCUGAUUUUUAAGUUGCUGAGGGCGAAUCGACUUCCGACAAGCUUGAGUCGACUCCUGCUUCAGCCGAGUCGACUCAAAGUCUGCACGAGUCGACUCGAGCACGCUGGAAGGCAUAAUAGCUAGUUUUUCACGACUCCAACGACUAGUUUUUCAUCUCUGACGACUUUAUUUCAUCUCUAACUGCUAGAAGAAGCUUUCCACAUGUUCUUAAGGCUAUAAAUUCAUGGAAAUACUAUCAAACAACAAGAGGAAGAGCUCCACAAGAUCAAAUCCUUCAAGAAUCCAAAAAGAGAGAGCAUAACGCCAAAUCCACAAAAAGGCCAAAUAUUUGAGCAAAACGAGAGCUAUUCAAGUUAGGAUCAAUCAGAGCAUCCACCAAGAGCCUCAAGAUCACAUCCUCAACCUCAAUCAAUUGGUGAAGAGCUUCAAAGAUCAACCACUACACCAAUCUGAGUUUUGCUCUUUUCUUUCUCUUGUAUUUUAUAUCUUGAGCAUAACUCUAGUGUGCAUUAAUUUUUUCAAUUCUUGUACUUGUAAAGGUUCUUCCAAACCUAAAUUGGAAGUUAUUGAAUUAAGGGGAUUCAACAAGGGAGAGGUUGUUGGUGAGCCAGUAAAAACCAACGUUGUAGGUUGUAGUUGGUAAUCCAGGGAAAACCAACUGGGUUGGAUUGUGAGCCCGUGAAAACAGUCGGAUUGGUUCUAGUCGGUGAGCCUGUGAAAACCGACCAAGUUCGUUGUAAUCUCGUGAAAACAACAAGUUGAUUGUGAGCUUGUAAAACAAUCGGACUGUAAUCGGA